GCCCUGGCAGUCAGAGGCGAUGAAGGACGUGCUAAUCUGCGAUAAGCGUCGGUAAGGUGAUAUGAACCGUUAUAACCGGCGAUUUCCGAAUGGGGAAACCCAGUGUGAUUCGUCACACUAUCAUUAACUGAAUCCAUAGGUUAAUGAGGCGAACCGGGGGAACUGAAACAUCUAAGUACCCCGAGGAAAAGAAAUCAACCGAGAUUCCCCCAGUAGCGGCGAGCGAACGGGGAGCAGCCCAGAGCCUGAAUCAGUGUGUGUGUUAGUGGAAGCGUCUGGAAAGGCGCGCGAUACAGGGUGACAGCCCCGUACACAAAAAUGCACAUACUGUGAGCUCGAUGAGUAGGGCGGGACACGUGGUAUCCUGUCUGAAUAUGGGGGGACCAUCCUCCAAGGCUAAAUACUCCUGACUGACCGAUAGUGAACCAGUACCGUGAGGGAAAGGCGAAAAGAACCCCGGCGAGGGGAGUGAAAAAGAACCUGAAACCGUGUACGUACAAGCAGUGGGAGCACGCUUAGGCGUGUGACUGCGUACCUUUUGUAUAAUGGGUCAGCGACUUAUAUUCUGUAGCAAGGUUAACCGAAUAGGGGAGCCGAAGGGAAACCGAGUCUUAACUGGGCGUUAAGUUGCAGGGUAUAGACCCGAAACCCGGUGAUCUAGCCAUGGGCAGGUUGAAGGUUGGGUAACACUAACUGGAGGACCGAACCGACUAAUGUUGAAAAAUUAGCGGAUGACUUGUGGCUGGGGGUGAAAGGCCAAUCAAACCGGGAGAUAGCUGGUUCUCCCCGAAAGCUAUUUAGGUAGCGCCUCGUGAAUUCAUCUCCGGGGGUAGAGCACUGUUUCGGCAAGGGGGUCAUCCCGACUUACCAACCCGAUGCAAACUGCGAAUACCGGAGAAUGUUAUCACGGGAGACACACGGCGGGUGCUAACGUCCGUCGUGAAGAGGGAAACAACCCAGACCGCCAGCUAAGGUCCCAAAGUCAUGGUUAAGUGGGAAACGAUGUGGGAAGGCCCAGACAGCCAGGAUGUUGGCUUAGAAGCAGCCAUCAUUUAAAGAAAGCGUAAUAGCUCACUGGUCGAGUCGGCCUGCGCGGAAGAUGUAACGGGGCUAAACCAUGCACCGAAGCUGCGGCAGCGACACUAUGUGUUGUUGGGUAGGGGAGCGUUCUGUAAGCCUGUGAAGGUGUGCUGUGAGGCAUGCUGGAGGUAUCAGAAGUGCGAAUGCUGACAUAAGUAACGAUAAAGCGGGUGAAAAGCCCGCUCGCCGGAAGACCAAGGGUUCCUGUCCAACGUUAAUCGGGGCAGGGUGAGUCGACCCCUAAGGCGAGGCCGAAAGGCGUAGUCGAUGGGAAACAGGUUAAUAUUCCUGUACUUGGUGUUACUGCGAAGGGGGGACGGAGAAGGCUAUGUUGGCCGGGCGACGGUUGUCCCGGUUUAAGCGUGUAGGCUGGU
This 1454-nucleotide ribosomal RNA is filed under the name Escherichia coli. RNAcentral's name for it is "partial 23S ribosomal RNA". It matches the Rfam family "Bacterial large subunit ribosomal RNA", at positions 30 to 1529 of the family's 2925-position model. Lineage: Bacteria; Pseudomonadati; Pseudomonadota; Gammaproteobacteria; Enterobacterales; Enterobacteriaceae. The record is from RNAcentral.